UACGUAGGGGGCGAGCGUUAUCCGGAUUCAUUGGGCGUAAAGCGCGCGUAGGCGGCCGCCUAGGCGGAACCUCUAACCCCGGGGCUCAACCUCGGGCCGGGUUCCGGACUGGGCGGCUCGAGUGCGGUAGAGGAGAGCGGAAUUCCCGGUGUAGCGGUGGAAUGCGCAGAUAUCGGGAAGAACACCGAUGGCGAAGGCAGCUCUCUGGGCCGUCACUGACGCUGAGGCGCGAAAGCUGGGGGAGCGAACAGG
This 252-nucleotide ribosomal RNA is filed under the name uncultured bacterium. RNAcentral describes it as "partial 16S ribosomal RNA". It matches the Rfam family "Bacterial small subunit ribosomal RNA", at positions 524 to 776 of the family's 1533-position model. The record is from RNAcentral.